CCUGGCUCAGGAUGAACGCUAGCGACAGGCCUAACACAUGCAAGUCGAGGGGCAGCAUUUCUAGCUUGCUAGAAGAUGGCGACCGGCGCACGGGUGAGUAACGCGUAUGCAACCUACCUUAUACUGGGGGAUAGCCCAGAGAAAUCUGGAUUAACACCGCAUAAUAAUUGUUUUUCGCAUGUUAAACAAUUUAAAACUCCGGUGGUAUAAGAUGGGCAUGCGUAGCAUUAGUUAGUUGGUGAGGUAACGGCUCACCAAGACGAUGAUGCUUAGGGGGUCUGAGAGGAUAGUCCCCCACACUGGUACUGAGACACGGACCAGACUCCUACGGGAGGCAGCAGUGAGGAAUAUUGGUCAAUGGACGCAAGUCUGAACCAGCCAUGUCGCGUGCAGGAUGACGGCCCUAUGGGUUGUAAACUGCUUUUUUUACAGGAAUAAUUGUCUCUACGUGUAGAGAUUUGAAUGUACUGUUGAAUAAGGAUCGGCUAACUCCGUGCCAGCAGCCGCGGUAAUACGGAGGAUUCGAGCGUUAUCCGGAUUUAUUGGGUUUAAAGGGUCCGUAGGCGGUCUUUUAAGUCAGUGGUGAAAUCCCAGAGCUCAACUCUGGAACUGCCAUUGAAACUGAAAGACUUGAAUAUGGUUGAGGUAGGCGGAAUACGUUAUGUAGCGGUGAAAUGCUUAGAUAUUAUAUAGAACACCGAUUGCGAAGGCAGCUUACUAGACUAUAACUGACGCUCAUGGACGAAAGCGUGGGGAGCGAACAGGAUUAGAUACCCUGGUAGUCCACGCCGUAAACGAUGAUUACUCGUUGUGCACAAUACACCGUGCGUGACUGAGCGAAAGCAUUAAGUAAUCCACCUGGGGAGUACGUCGGCAAGAUUGAAACUCAAAGGAAUUGACGGGGGCCCGCACAAGCGGAGGAACAUGUGGUUUAAUUCGAUGAUACGCGAGGAACCUUACCUGGGCUUAAAUGUAGAUUGACAGGACUGGAAACGGUUUUUUCUUCGGACAAUUUACAAGGUGCUGCAUGGUUGUCGUCAGCUCGUGCCGUGAGGUGUCGGGUUAAGUCCCAUAACGAGCGCAACCCCUAUCGUUAGUUGCUAGCAGGUAAUGCUGAGGACUCUAGCGAGACUGCCGGUGUAAACCGUGAGGAAGGUGGGGAUGACGUCAAAUCAGCACGGCCCUUAUGUCCAGGGCUACACACGUGUUACAAUGGUAGAUACAAAGAGCAGCUAUGUGGCGACACAGUGCUAAUCUCAAAAGUCUAUCUUAGUUCGGAUCGGAGUCUGCAACUCGACUCCGUGAAGUUGGAUUCGCUAGUAAUCGUAUAUCAGCCAUGAUACGGUGAAUACGUUCCCGGGCCUUGUACACACCGCCCGUCAAGCCAUGGAAGUUGGGGGUACCUGAAGUCCGUAACCGUAAGGAGCGGCCUAGGGUAAAACUAGUAACUGGGGCUAAGUCGUAACA
This 1467-nucleotide ribosomal RNA is filed under the name uncultured prokaryote. RNAcentral describes it as "partial 16S ribosomal RNA". It matches the Rfam family "Bacterial small subunit ribosomal RNA". The record is from RNAcentral.